This 1035-nucleotide long non-coding RNA is filed under the name Equus asinus (donkey). RNAcentral describes it as "lncRNA (ENSEASG00005025165.1)". The record is from RNAcentral. Lineage: Eukaryota; Metazoa; Chordata; Mammalia; Perissodactyla; Equidae.
CUGCAGCUGCUGCCACGUGGCCUUGGGGACCAGCCCACAGCCACCCCCCGCCCCUGCCCCUCGCUGAGAGGCGUUGGGCCUGGUCAGAAAGACUGCGGGCGAGACCUCAGGCCGUCGGCCUCUGCCGCUCCGCCCGAGACUGGGCAUGAUGUUUUCAAGGUUCAUCUGACUUGUAGCACGUCAGUACAGUCUUGCUCAGCAUGAUGACAUUUCGAUCAAAGAUGGAUGAUAUAUACAAAGGUGGUCCCAUAAGGGAAAGCCAAAAACUUAUGGUAACCUUCUUCAGACUCAAAAUAUAUAAGAUGCAUCCCCUCCAUCAGAUGCAAAAAAAAAAAAAAAAAAAAGUAACAGGAAUGUCAGGAAUCUCUUCUUUGGGACUGCCAUGGAGAUGGAGUUCUUGUUUCAGUACUGGCUUGUACCCAGCACAGGAAAAGUUGUACCCAAGUCAAAUAUCUGAGUCCUGCACCCUACGGCCCCACCGUCCCACCGCCCCUCUGCCCCUCGGCCCCUCUACCCUUCUGCCCCAGCCCCUUGUGAGCUGCAGCGCCUCAUCGAAAGCAGCUUAUAGACAGAUUGAUUUAGAGUAAAUUCAACCACAUGACUGCAACAAUACUAUGAAGAGGAAUAGUUUCGAUCUCUGGUUCAGCUGUUGCAGAAGUAAUACGUAAGUGAUAAGAUUCAAAUUCACUGAAUUUUAAACAUAAUUCUCAGCCUUGGUUAAUCGAAUAGGGAAUACAUGCGUCCCUUCUUUCAUAAUAGAUGUAGACUGUAUGCAAAUGAAAUUUGUCAAACUCAGAAUUUAAAGACCUUGUUUUAUGCCUGUAAUUUCCUUAAAAAUAGCACAGCUUAGGCAGUGUGCCAGUAAUAAAAUGCAUGUGCCAGUCAUGGUCCCUUUAAGCUCCUCCAGGGGUGACUGGUUGCUCUGUCCAUGGAUGGUGAGCUAGUGUUCAACUCAGGAAGCCAUUUUCCAGAGAAGGCCACUGCAACGGCUUCCAUUGUCCCAUCUUGAUCAACACCUGAAACACUGUUAAUUCC